CCACUCCGUGCGCUUCCUCCCACAGGUCAGCUCUGCGGAGGGGGCGGCCAAGGAGGAGCCGAAGAGGAGGUCGGCCCGGUUGUCAGCCAAACCUGCGCCUGCAAAAGUGGAGGCGAAGCCCAAAAAGGCGGCGGGAAAGAUUCUUCAAAACACCUAAAUGAUAACGAUAAACUCAAAAUUGAUCCUUUUAGCUACUCAUUAUAUGAUAGUCAACCUGACCAUACAACAUCUUUCAGGAUAAGUCUGCAGACAAGAAAGUGCCAACAAAAGGGAAAAGGGGAGCAAAGGGAAAGCAGGCGGAAGUGGCUGACCAGGAACCUAAAGAAGACCUACCUGCGGAAAACGGAGAAACUAAAAACGAGGAGAGUCCAACCUCAGAUGAAGCAGGA
Long non-coding RNA from Myotis brandtii (Brandt's bat), 389 nucleotides. RefSeq lists it as uncharacterized. The transcript has 6 exons. The record is from RefSeq and is a predicted model, not a curated record. Lineage: Eukaryota; Metazoa; Chordata; Mammalia; Chiroptera; Vespertilionidae.